AGCUGCAAGAGAUUUUGGGUAACGGCUGCUUUAGAUGCUGGAAUCAUGAUGGAAUCUGCUGGAUAUCCCGUUACAAAGCUGGAACCUUUUGUUAGCCGGGAAACUAGAACAUGUAGCUACCCCAUUUUGCAUCUCAUGAAUGUAUCCAAUAGCGAGCUGCUGUGGCUGUUAAGUGGCAUUUUUUGGAUGUUAGUUGUUGUUUUACUGCUUGCAUUCAAUUUAGUCACUACUGCUAGAUAUCAGUCAUAACAUGUAUGGCAGAGCUCCUAGAUGUCAUUUAAAAAUGGUUUUUAUUUCCUGCAGCGACACUUGCCUUUUGAUUUCAAUCUCACCAUGUGCUGAAGAAUAGUAUUUAUAGAUACUCUUACCAUUCUUAUUUAAUUACAAACAAUAUUGAUCGUUGUACAUGAUUUUGAAAACGAGAAGAAGCACCUAGCUGAGAGUGGGAGAUUGCUUAAACCAGUGAGCUCUAUAGAUUGUUCACUCCAGAUUUUCCAGUCUGUUUGUACAAAACUGAAAGCCUGAAAUGUUGUCCAUCAAGAUAUAUACCUAGCCUGUGUCAUCAAUUAUGCCACUUUCAUAAAAGCUCAAGGAAUUGAAUCUUGGUGGCACGUAGAGAUCUUAUUGCAGUUUUCAAAUGGGAGAGAAGUGUUUUCUUGAAAGCCAUCAUCUGCUGCAGCUGCAAAAAAGCUUGGUGGAGCACACUCAUGCAGGAGUUAAACUUUAAGAACUUUGUGGAUCUUAAUAAAUAGCCUAUCUUCUAAUGGACAUUCUGCACACGAUCUGAUUUUAGAGUUUCUUUUGGAAAAAACUGGACGACGGAUUUCCUUGUCUGUGCUGUAUUUCCUCUUUAGAAUCAUUUUUGUCGUCCCUAUGCUUUCAUUCGAAAUCCAACAUAAAUGUUGUAGUUGUAGUAUGAGCUCUCAAAACAGAGGAAAUUUUGUUCUGCAGGCGACAUUUAGUUGUGACUUACCGUAUAUAUAUGUACAAUGUUCUGCCUUGUGCCUUUUGCAAA
Panicum virgatum (switchgrass) is the source of this 1015-nucleotide long non-coding RNA. RefSeq lists it as uncharacterized. The record is from RefSeq and is a predicted model, not a curated record. The transcript has 3 exons. NCBI's taxonomy places the organism in Eukaryota, Viridiplantae, Streptophyta, Magnoliopsida, Poales, Poaceae.